RNAcentral lists this unclassified non-coding RNA (221 nucleotides) under Hevea brasiliensis (rubber tree). Lineage: Eukaryota; Viridiplantae; Streptophyta; Magnoliopsida; Malpighiales; Euphorbiaceae. The record is from RNAcentral.
AUGCGUAACUCCCUUUUCCAGAGAGGGUCUCUAGGGCAACAAAUGAGGGAGUCGGUUGAAGAAGGGCUUUUUCAGAGGACAACGCAAACCCAACUCCCAAGAGAGUAUGGGCGCUGGGGAACAAUCAAACGAGAGUUGAUCUCCAUGGAGUUCCUCGCCCAACCGGAAGACGAAGUGGUUCAGCUUUUAUUUAUUACAUUAGGCUCUUUGAGACCUUCUUG